Molecule: non-coding RNA, 393 nt
Organism: Chiloscyllium plagiosum (whitespotted bambooshark)
Lineage: Eukaryota; Metazoa; Chordata; Chondrichthyes; Orectolobiformes; Hemiscylliidae
Source: RefSeq, a predicted model, not a curated record
UCCGGGUGCUCCAGUUUCCUCCCACAAUCGAAAAAUGUGCAGAUUUUGGGAGGUAUGAGUUUUGAAUUAUGAGCACGAUUCUUCCUCCCUCGAAGUGAUGAAAAGGGAAAUUAAUGAGUAUCUUUGCCCUGCUGCUCUGGAAGAAAAGGAAUUUAACAUUGGAAUUCAGAUGGUGCACUACUGAAUGAAUUAAAAAGUCAAAAAGCAAAUUAUAAUUAAUCACAUGCUGCCAAAUAAAGACAGAACUAUUGAUUGCCCUUUCCUGUACUGGUGGCAUUCAAACCGCAGACAGACAAAUGCUCCAAACUAAAUCAGGUCAUGCUGCAUGCCAAGAGGAAAUAUGAAAGGAUCUGGACUGAAUUAUCUCGUGCAGAACCUUGAAACCAGCAACAA